Molecule: long non-coding RNA, 829 nt
Organism: Xenopus laevis (African clawed frog)
Lineage: Eukaryota; Metazoa; Chordata; Amphibia; Anura; Pipidae
Exons: 5
Source: RefSeq, a predicted model, not a curated record
ACAGCAGGGCUAAUUACUGCAGCAGUGCAGGAGUUAAGAGAGCCCUGAGAGUUCAGGAGGGGGGUUGGUAGACACACGUGAGGUCUGCACGAGAGGAGUGUGUUUGGGAACUGCUCUCCUGACUGGGAGUUCAACAUUUUGCAAGGCUAGAUACAACCUCAGUCUUCUGCUGUCAGGGGAUUCCAGGAGUUAGACAGUUUUACAGCAACAGAUGGAGACCCACCGACUGGACUUUUCUGUGUUCUAUAUUUCAAGAGUCCAAUCGUUUAUUUUCUGAAAAGUGAAUUGCACAUCUGAGGAACAUGAAAAUGAUGGAGUAUAGCUAUUGUUUUCCCAAAAGGGCGAAACCAUGUCAAUAAUGAAAGACUACUUAUCCAGCAAAAUGAACUAACUAGAAGAGCCCAUUGAGCAUGAAGCAAAGUUUUUGCAUUCAGAUCCUGAGGGCUGAUGAUAAUUUCAGUAUUUCAGGUUCACCGAAAGUUUACCAGAGCUUUGAAGAUUUGUCUUUCCUGCACAUGAAGAAGUCCUGAAGUUUAAGCUGUAUAAUUAAAAAUGUGCAAAUGUGUUUCUAUAAUCUUCUCCGUAUAAAUUCCCUGGUGCUAUGUGAUAGAGGGAUGAUGUCAUCAAUCUUAUUAUUGCAUUCCUAAAUGCAGACAUAUCGUUCAUUAGCACUUUAUGACAUAACAUUAAAGGUAGGGCACGUUUAAAAUCUAUAUAAAUCAGUAUACAAUAUAGGGCAUACAUUUUCACAGAUAAAUUAGUAUUAUCUGUAUUUUUCAGCAUUUUUCCAUUCCAGUUUACAAAUAAUGACAUAAAAUAAAAAUGGAAU